This 434-nucleotide ribosomal RNA is filed under the name uncultured bacterium. RNAcentral's name for it is "partial 16S ribosomal RNA". It matches the Rfam family "Bacterial small subunit ribosomal RNA", at positions 29 to 507 of the family's 1533-position model. The record is from RNAcentral.
ACGAACGCUGGCGGCAGGCUUAACACCUGCAAGUCGAACGCGUGCAGCAAUGCACGAGUGGCGCACGGGUGAGUAACGAGUGGAUAUCUGCCUUUUGGUUCGGAAUAACCCCGGGAAACUGGGGCUAAUACCGGAUGGUUCCUACGGGAUAAAGAUUUAUCGCCAAAAGAUGAGUCCGCGUCCGAUUAGCUAGUUGGUGAGGUAAUGGCUCACCAAGGCGACGAUCGGUAGCUGGUCUGAGAGGACGAUCAGCCACACUGGGACUGAGACACGGCCCAGACUCCUACGGGAGGCAGCAGUGGGGAAUAUUGGACAAUGGGGGCAACCCUGAUCCAGCCAUGCCGCGUGAGUGAUGAAGGCCUUCGGGUUGUAAAGCUCUUUUGGCGGGGACGAUGAUGACGGUACCCGCAGAAUAAGCCCCGGCUAACUUCGUG